GAUGAACGCUGGCGGCGUGCCUAAUACAUGCAAGUCGAGCGAACAGAUGAGGAGCUUGCUCCUCUGACGUUAGCGGCGGACGGGUGAGUAACACGUGGAUAACCUACCUAUAAGACUGGGAUAACUUCGGGAAACCGGAGCUAAUACCGGAUAAUAUAUUGAACCGCAUGGUUCAAUAGUGAAAGACGGUUUUGCUGUCACUUAUAGAUGGAUCCGCGCCGCAUUAGCUAGUUGGUAAGGUAACGGCUUACCAAGGCAACGAUGCGUAGCCGACCUGAGAGGGUGAUCGGACACACUGGAACUGAGACACGGUCCAGACUCCUACGGGAGGCAGCAGUAGGGAAUCUUCCGCAAUGGGCGAAAGCCUGACGGAGCAACGCCGCGUGAGUGAUGAAGGUCUUCGGAUCGUAAAUCUCUGUUAUUAGGGAAGAACAAAUGUGUAAGUAACUAUGCACGUCUUGACGGUACCUAAUCAGAAAGCCACGGCUAACUACGUG
This 497-nucleotide ribosomal RNA is filed under the name uncultured bacterium. RNAcentral describes it as "partial 16S ribosomal RNA". It matches the Rfam family "Bacterial small subunit ribosomal RNA", at positions 28 to 507 of the family's 1533-position model. The record is from RNAcentral.